RNAcentral lists this ribosomal RNA (465 nucleotides) under Vreelandella stevensii. RNAcentral's name for it is "partial 16S ribosomal RNA". It matches the Rfam family "Bacterial small subunit ribosomal RNA", at positions 338 to 795 of the family's 1533-position model. Lineage: Bacteria; Pseudomonadati; Pseudomonadota; Gammaproteobacteria; Oceanospirillales; Halomonadaceae. The record is from RNAcentral.
CCUCGGGGGGGCUGCAGUGGGGAAUAUUGGACAAUGGGCGAAAGCCUGAUCCAGCCAUGCCGCGUGUGUGAAGAAGGCCUUCGGGUUGUAAAGCACUUUCAGUGGGGAAGAAAGCCUUGGGGCUAAUACCCUCGAGGAAGGACAUCACCCACAGAAGAAGCACCGGCUAACUCCGUGCCAGCAGCCGCGGUAAUACGGAGGGUGCGAGCGUUAAUCGGAAUUACUGGGCGUAAAGCGCGCGUAGGCGGUCUGAUAAGCCGGUUGUGAAAGCCCCGGGCUCAACCUGGGAACGGCAUCCGGAACUGUCAGGCUAGAGUGCAGGAGAGGAAGGUAGAAUUCCAGGUGUAGCGGUGAAAUGCGUAGAGAUCGGGAGGAAUACCAGUGGCGAAGGCGGCCUUCUGGACUGACACUGACGCUGAGGUGCGAAAGCGUGGGUAGCAAACAGGAUUAGAUACCCGUGUAGUC